This is a long non-coding RNA of Cimex lectularius (bed bug), 1140 nucleotides long. RefSeq lists it as uncharacterized. The record is from RefSeq and is a predicted model, not a curated record. The transcript is spliced from 3 exons. NCBI's taxonomy places the organism in Eukaryota, Metazoa, Arthropoda, Insecta, Hemiptera, Cimicidae.
CAUAUCAUCGGACAGAUGCAGAAAAUAUAACUCAUCAUGAACCGUACAGACCGUAUGCCGUAUGAGGAAAUCUCACAAAUAAUUCUUGUUGCAGACAAAAUUAAGCCAUUUUAAGCUGGGCAAAGUAUGGAUUGCUCCUCUACAGGAAUGGAAAGAGGUAUUUGAAGCACGUUUAAUAAUUGAAAUGUCGGAUGUACAUUGUGAUGUCACUAAUGCAAGAAUGAUCUCUACGAAAGUAAAACUGGUCAUCGAUGUCCAUUAUUUCACCUGGUGGCAGAUUUGAUACUGGUUAGCUAAUAACAAAAUAUCCGACUGCAGCUCUUCAUUAACACAGAAAGGUCAUAAGAAAAAGAUAGUCAAAGAAAAUCUUAACAACCGUUAAAGUGCGCUAGGAAUCAUCCUGUAUUUAGUUCACUCCAGUGAUUCAGUUAUCUUCCUGAGAGUGACUCAAUCAAAACUUGAUGAUAAAGCAGCUAUUUUUAAGAGAAAAUUGUGUAAGACGAAGAAUGAAACGUUUUAUGCAGUCGAAUAGUCAGGUGUAAAAAUAGAGAAAAACCAGUUAAACUACCACUGCAAUAUCACUAAUGUGACCAUCAUUUCAACGAGUUGCCUGUUGCUGAUGGUUUAUGGCUGGAUAAAAAAUAAGCUAAAAAUAAUAAGGUUAGCAAGAUCACAACUGCAGGUUGCAACUUUAUGUAAAUGUUAAAACAUGUCUUGACAGGCUCUUCCUUAUAAAAUGACCGAUUUCUGUUUCCGGGUGAAUCUCGAUAUAACUGAAGUCAGAGAGACAGCCAACCGGUGCCCAAUUAUUUUAUUAAUGAUAUGCAUGGUUCUGUAUAAACUAAACUACUUUUAAAAAGAAAACCUCUGGAAAACUUCAUGCUACUCGUAGUUUUGACUGCUGAAAGUAACUGGGUCAUUAUUUAUCAGCAAUCGACGAAAUGGAAGAGGCUCAUCAGUCAAACUUGGAUUUGGAAAAGCUCGAAUGUCUUAUUCAAUGGAUGGAAAAUGGAUUGCCGGAUGACCCUCAGCCUACCCAGUUUCAGCUAAAAUGGUGUAAAGGGAUGUAAAAAGUCCUUCAGAUUUCUUUUUCCGCAUAAAAACGAAAAGUUUAACAUACUAUGUACUUCCAUGAACUAA